Dromaius novaehollandiae (emu) is the source of this 863-nucleotide long non-coding RNA. RefSeq lists it as uncharacterized. Lineage: Eukaryota; Metazoa; Chordata; Aves; Casuariiformes; Dromaiidae. The transcript is spliced from 3 exons. The record is from RefSeq and is a predicted model, not a curated record.
GACCCCCAGAGGGGAGGGGCCGGGAGUCCUCGGGGGCCCGGGGUGCCCGGAGAGGGGCUGGGGGUCGGUUUAGGGGGCCGGGACCCCCGGGCGUGGGGCUGGGCUGGAGGCUGGGGCUCCAGAGAAGGGGCUGGGGGCCGCGUCGUGGGACCCCCAGCGUGGGAGUGGGGGAGACAGCAGCCCCCUCAGAGCUGGUGCUGCUGCAGCGGGGAGGAGGGCUCCCCUGGGAAGGUGCUUCCAGAGCGGAAUCGGGUUCGGAGCGCGGAUACCCCUCGAAGGAGGUGGAAGGCAUGACACCUUCCCUGCAGCGCUGGUGUCACAUGCAUGGUGGGGAACCGAGGUCGAGGCCCCCCCGAGCUAGGUCUGACGGAUGGGGGGUGGGAGAAGGGCCCUCCUGAGGACUGUUUGCGAUUCAAACAGCUACACCCUUUCCUCAGGAUAAAUCCUUGGGGGCUGGAGCAGAUCUGGAGACGCCGUAAGUGUCCAGGGCGGCACUGCUGGCAUCCUGCUCGCCAGCAGCACUUGGCCGGGGCACAAGCCAUUUCCGCUCCAGCUGAAGCUAAAAGAGCAGAAAGUUCCCUCACCGAGGAGCCUGGAUCCACGAGGCAAGUGGCCCCAGAAGCAGGAGGUAAAGCUGCCCUCUGAGCUCAGGGUUUGUGCAGGGAAAAACAGACUGAGCAUCUCUCCCCGAGAAGGCUGGGGCACGAUUACAGCAUGGGAAGGAGGAGAAAACCCAGUGAGAUCUGCUGACUUUACCACUGCUUCCUGUCCUCUUCUCUGCUACCAUAGAUGCUGUCUCCGUUUCUGGCUACAUCAUGAUCAGACUCUUUUGGAGCUAUCAGUUAACAUGGUAUGAAACAGAA